AGAUUGAACGCUGGCGGCAUGCCUUACACAUGCAAGUCGAACGGUAGAGUAGCAAUACUCGAGAGUGGCGAACGGGUGAGUAAUAUAUCGGAACGUGCCCAGUCGUGGGGGAUAACGUAGAGAAAUUUACGCUAAUACCGCAUACGAUCUAAGGAUGAAAGCGGGGGAUCGCAAGACCUCGCGCGAUUGGAGCGGCUGAUAUCAGAUUAGGUUGUUGGUGAGGUAAAAGCUCACCAAGCCGACGAUCUGUAGCUGGUUUGAGAGAACGACCAGCCACACUGGGACUGAGACACGGCCCAGACUCCGUACGGGAGGCAGCAGUGGGAAUUUUGGACAAGUGGGACGAAAGCCUGAUCCAGCAAUCGCCGCGUGACGAGGAAGAAGGCCUUACGGGUUAGUAAACUGUCUUUUAGGAACGGUAACGUAACGGUCU
Molecule: ribosomal RNA, 433 nt
Filed under: uncultured soil bacterium
Lineage: Bacteria
Description: bacterial SSU rRNA
Rfam family: Bacterial small subunit ribosomal RNA
Source: RNAcentral